AGGAUGAACGCUGGCGGCGUGCUUAACACAUGCAAGUCGAACGAUGAAGCAGAGCUUGCUCUGUGGAUUAGUGGCGAACGGGUGAGUAACACGUGAGUAACCUGCCCUUGACUCUGGAAUAAGCGUUGGAAACGACGUCUAAUACCGGAUACGAGCUUCCGCCGCAUGGUGAGGAGCUGGAAAGAAUUUCGGUCAAGGAUGGACUCGCGGCCUAUCAGGUAGUUGGUGAGGUAAUGGCUCACCAAGCCUACGACGGGUAGCCGGCCUGAGAGGGUGACCGGCCACGACUGGAACUGAGACACGGUCCAGACUCCUACGGGAGGCAGCAGUGGGAAUAUGCACAAUGGGCGCAAGCCUGAUGCAGCAACGCCGCGUGAGGACGACGGCCUUCGGUUGUAAACCGUCUUUUAGUACGGAAGAAGGCGUUACGGUCGUCGACGGUACCUGCGAAGAAAAAGCACCGGCUAACUACGU
RNAcentral lists this ribosomal RNA (474 nucleotides) under uncultured soil bacterium. RNAcentral describes it as "bacterial SSU rRNA". It matches the Rfam family "Bacterial small subunit ribosomal RNA", at positions 26 to 506 of the family's 1533-position model. The record is from RNAcentral.